CUACCCUUGACAUGUAUGGAAUCCUGCUGAGAGGUGGGAGUGCCCGAAAGGGAGCCAUAACACAGGUGCUGCAUGGCUGUCGUCAGCUCGUGUCGUGAGAUGUUGGGUUAAGUCCCGCAACGAGCGCAACCCUUGUCCCUAGUUGCUACGCAAGAGCACUCUAGGGAGACUGCCGGUGACAAACCGGAGGAAGGUGGGGAUGACGUCAAGUCCUCAUGGCCCUUAUGGGUAGGGCUUCACACGUCAUACAAUGGUCGGAACAGAGGGUUGCCAAGCCGCGAGGUGGAGCCAAUCCCAGAAAACCGAUCGUAGUCCGGAUCGCACUCUGCAACUCGAGUGCGUGAAGCUGGAAUCGCUAGUAAUCGCGGAUCAGCAUGCCGCGGUGAAUACGUUCCC
This 396-nucleotide ribosomal RNA is filed under the name uncultured Burkholderia sp. RNAcentral describes it as "bacterial SSU rRNA". It matches the Rfam family "Bacterial small subunit ribosomal RNA", at positions 975 to 1375 of the family's 1533-position model. Lineage: Bacteria; Pseudomonadati; Pseudomonadota; Betaproteobacteria; Burkholderiales; Burkholderiaceae. The record is from RNAcentral.